GGGGAUGUGGCUCAAGUGGUAGAGCACUUGCCUUGUAAGCACAAAGGCCUGAGUUUGAACCUUAGCACCA
Molecule: transfer RNA, 70 nt
Filed under: Dipodomys ordii (Ord's kangaroo rat)
Lineage: Eukaryota; Metazoa; Chordata; Mammalia; Rodentia; Heteromyidae
Rfam family: tRNA
About the family: Transfer RNA (tRNA) molecules are approximately 80 nucleotides in length. Their secondary structure includes four short double-helical elements and three loops (D, anti-codon, and T loops).
Source: Rfam by way of RNAcentral